This 492-nucleotide ribosomal RNA is filed under the name uncultured bacterium. Its description in RNAcentral is "partial 16S ribosomal RNA". It matches the Rfam family "Bacterial small subunit ribosomal RNA", at positions 29 to 507 of the family's 1533-position model. The record is from RNAcentral.
AGUGAACGCUGGCGGUAGGCCUAACACAUGCAAGUCGAACGGCAGCACAGUAAGAGCUUGCUCUUACGGGUGGCGAGUGGCGGACGGGUGAGGAAUACAUCGGAAUCUACUUUUUCGUGGGGGAUAACGUAGGGAAACUUACGCUAAUACCGCACACGACCUACGGGUGAAAGCAGGGGAUCUUCGGACCUUGCGCGAUUGAAUGAGCCGAUGUCGGAUUAGCUAGUUGGCGGGGUAAAGGCCCACCAAGGCGACGAUCCGUAGCUGGUCUGAGAGGAUGAUCAGCCACACUGGAACUGAGACACGGUCCAGACUCCUACGGGAGGCAGCAGUGGGGAAUAUUGGACAAUGGGCGCAAGCCUGAUCCAGCCAUACCGCGUGGGUGAAGAAGGCCUUCGGGUUGUAAAGCCCUUUUGUUGGGAAAGAAAAGCAGCAGGUUAAUACCCCGCUGUUCCGACGGUACCCAAAGAAUAAGCACCGGCUAACUUCGUG